UGGACCAGUGAUGACCACUGCUGCGUAGGAGUCAUAUAUGGUGAAUAUUAUGUGUCUGUGACUCUUAAAUCCAC
Equus asinus (donkey) is the source of this 74-nucleotide small nucleolar RNA. NCBI's taxonomy places the organism in Eukaryota, Metazoa, Chordata, Mammalia, Perissodactyla, Equidae. The record is from Ensembl.